AUUGAACGCUGGCGGAAUGCUUUACACAUGCAAGUCGAACGGCAGCACGGGGGCAACCCUGGUGGCGAGUGGCGCACGGGUGAGUAAUACAUCGGAACGUGUCCUAAGGGUGGGGAUAGCCCGGCGAAAGCCGGAUUAAUACCGCAUACGCUCGAAAGAGGAAAGUGGGGGAUCGUAAGAUCUCACGCCCAAGGAGCGGCCGAUGCCGGAUUAGCUUGUUGGUGAGGUAAAAGCNCACCAAGGCGACGAUCCGUAGCUGGUCUGAGAGGACGACCAGCCACACUGGGACUGAGACACCGGCCCAGACUCCUACGGG
This 316-nucleotide ribosomal RNA is filed under the name uncultured bacterium. RNAcentral describes it as "bacterial SSU rRNA". It matches the Rfam family "Bacterial small subunit ribosomal RNA", at positions 29 to 345 of the family's 1533-position model. The record is from RNAcentral.